ACCCUCAGGCUGGUAGACAUCACCCUCAGGCUGGUAGACAUCACCCUCAGGCUGGUAGACAUCACCCUCAGGCUGGUAGACAUCAUCCUCAGGCUGGUAGACAUCAUCCUCAGGCUGGUAGACAUCAUCCUCAGGCUGGUAGACAUCACCCUCAGGCUGGUAGACAUCAUCCUCAGGCUGGUAGACAUCAUCCUCAGGCUGGUAGACAUCACCCUUAGGCUGGUAGACAUCAUCCUCAGGCUGGUAGACAUCAUCCUCAGGCUGGUAGACAUCAUCCUCAGGCCGUGGGAGUUAGGGUUGUAGACAUCAUCCUCAGGCUGGUAGACAUCAUCCUCACGUGGGAGUUAGGCUGGUAGACAUCAUCCUCAGGCUGGUAGACAUCAUCCUCAGGCUGGUAGACAUCAUCCUCAGGCCGUGGGAGUUAGGCUGGUAGACAUCACCCUCAGGCUGGUAGACAUCACCCUCAGGCUGGUAGACAUCAUCCUCAGGCCGUGGGAGUUAGGGUUGUAGACAUCAUCCUCAGGCUGGUAGACAUCAUCCUCACGUGGGAGUUAGGCUGGUAGACAUCAUCCUCAGGCUGGUAGACAUCAUCCUUAGGCUGGUAGACAUCAUCCUCAGUCCGUGGGAGUUAGGCUAGUAGACAUCAUCCUCAGGCUGGUAGACAUCACCCUCAGGCUGGUAGACAUCAUCCUCAGGCCGUGGGAGUUAGGCUGGUAGACAUCAUCCUCAGGCUGGUAGACAUCACCCUCAGGCCGUGGGAGUUAGGCUGGUAGACAUCAUCCUCAGGCUGGUAGACAUCA
RNAcentral lists this long non-coding RNA (800 nucleotides) under Salmo salar (Atlantic salmon). Its description in RNAcentral is "lncRNA (ENSSSAG00000098422.1)". The record is from RNAcentral. Lineage: Eukaryota; Metazoa; Chordata; Actinopteri; Salmoniformes; Salmonidae.